RNAcentral lists this microRNA precursor (89 nucleotides) under Sorex araneus (European shrew). RNAcentral describes it as "miRNA (ENSSARG00000016854.1)". The record is from RNAcentral. Lineage: Eukaryota; Metazoa; Chordata; Mammalia; Eulipotyphla; Soricidae.
ACGUCUGUGUAUGUGUAUGAACAUAGCCCUGAGGUUGUAUGACUGUACACACACACACACACACACACACACACACACACACACACAGA